This 494-nucleotide ribosomal RNA is filed under the name Pseudoalteromonas rubra. RNAcentral's name for it is "partial 16S ribosomal RNA". The stretch from base 1 to 290 matches the Rfam family "Bacterial small subunit ribosomal RNA", at positions 1071 to 1335 of the family's 1533-position model. The record is from RNAcentral. Lineage: Bacteria; Pseudomonadati; Pseudomonadota; Gammaproteobacteria; Alteromonadales; Pseudoalteromonadaceae.
AAUGUUGGGUUAAGUCCCGCAACCCGAGCGCAACCUUUAUCCUUAGUGCAUGCCAGCGAUUCCGUCGGGAACUCUAAAGGAAACUGCCGGGUGAUAAACCCGGUAAGGAAGGUGGGGGACGAAAAGUCAUCAUGGGCCCUUACCGUGGAAGGGGUACACCACGUGGCUACAAUGGGCAUAUACAGAAGUGGUCGCGAAAUUUGCGAGAAUAAACCGAAUCACUUAAAAGGAUGGCCGAAUCCCCGGAUUGGGAGUCCGGCACCCCGCACUCCCUUGAAGUCCGGAAUCCCUUUGGAAAUCCCGAGUACAAAAAUUGCCCGGGGGGAAAAAUCCCCGGAAGCGCCUUUGGACACAACCCCCCCGGUCACACCAUGGGGAAGGGGGGUUGCCCCACAAAAAGGGGAAGCCUUUAACUCCUCGGGAAGGGGGCGUUCCCCCCCGGAAAGUGUAAUUAUAAGGGGGGGGGGAGGAANNCCCCUCAAAAGGGGAGGUCC